This is a non-coding RNA of Pangasianodon gigas (Mekong giant catfish), 75 nucleotides long. NCBI's taxonomy places the organism in Eukaryota, Metazoa, Chordata, Actinopteri, Siluriformes, Pangasiidae. The record is from the annotation of a GenBank genome assembly.
AUUAUGGUGACUCAGUGGUUAGGGUGCUGAGUUAUAGUUCAGAAGGUCUGGGUUCAAAUCCCAGCAUCUGUCAUG